Molecule: ribosomal RNA, 253 nt
Filed under: uncultured bacterium
Lineage: Bacteria
Description: partial 16S ribosomal RNA
Rfam family: Archaeal small subunit ribosomal RNA
Source: RNAcentral
UACCAGCACCCCGAGUGGUCGGGACGAUUAUUGGGCCUAAAGCAUCCGUAGCCGGUUUUACAAGUCCUCCGUUAAAUCCAGCUGCCUAACAGAUGGGCUGCGGAGGAUACUAUAAGACUAGGAGGCAGGAGAGGCAAGCGGUACUCAGUGGGUAGGGGUAAAAUCCGUUGAUCCAUUGAAGACCACCAGUGGCGAAGGCGGCUUGCCAGAAUGCGCUCGACGGUGAGGGAUGAAAGCUGGGGGAGCAAACAGG